RNAcentral lists this long non-coding RNA (450 nucleotides) under Lonchura striata (white-rumped munia). RNAcentral's name for it is "domestica (Bengalese finch) lncRNA (ENSLSDG00000002833.1)". The record is from RNAcentral. Lineage: Eukaryota; Metazoa; Chordata; Aves; Passeriformes; Estrildidae.
AAUGUCUUCCCUUUCUGUUUUUCAUGCCAACACAAACCUGUGACUGCCAAUUUGGAUCAAAAGGAGAAUGGAAGUUGGAACUCUGCUGGAAGUAUGGAAUGGCACAUCCUAAAAAUAGAAGUGCAACAGGAAUUACCUACAAAGGAAACUGGAAACUCCACAGCAUCUCUCUGUCAUCCUUCCCUCCAGAUGGUGCCUCCAAAUCCCUUCUGAAGGCGAUUGUGCAAACCAGCAUGAUCUGUAUUUGCCAAACAGCUCAACAAGAAAUGUUCCCCGUUCCAACCAGUAGAAAUUAAUACCAGAGACAGAAAUCCUUUCACUGAAGCCAUGGAGGAAGACACACACUCCAGUCCUGACCAUUGAACCACUGUGGUUUAAUUAUGCAAAACUGGGGUUGAAGAUUCAAGAUAUUGCUCAGAUUGUUCUGCAAUAAACUCUUCUGAUUCAACA